GAAAUGCGAUAAGUAAUGUGAAUUGCAGAAUUCAGUGAAUCAUCGAAUCUUUGAACGCACAUUGCGCCCGCCAGUAUUCUGGCAGGCAUGCCUGUUCGAGCGUCAUUUCAACCAUCAAGCCCCCGGCUUGUGUUGGGGACCUGCGGCUGCCCGCAGGCCCUGAAAAACAGUGGCGGGCUCGCUGUCACACCGAGCGUAGUAGCAUACAUUCUCGCUCAGGGCGUGCUGCGGGUUCCGGCCGUUAAACGACCUUCAUAACCCAAGGUUGACCUCGGAUCAGGUAGGAAGACCCGCUGAACUUAAGC
Molecule: unclassified non-coding RNA, 305 nt
Filed under: plant metagenome
Description: partial contains 5.8S ribosomal RNA, internal transcribed spacer 2, and large subunit ribosomal RNA
Rfam family: 5.8S ribosomal RNA (bases 1-105)
Source: RNAcentral